UACAGAGGUCUCAAGCGUUGUUCGGAUUCAUUGGGCGUAAAUGGCGCGUAGGCGGCGAGGUAAGUCGGGUGUGAAAUCUCAGAGCUCAACUCUGAAACUGCACUCGAUACUGCUUUGCUAGAGGACUGGAGAGGAGAUUGGAAUUCACGGUGUAGCAGUGAAAUGCGUAGAGAUCGUGAGGAAGACCAGUGGCGAAGGCGGAUCUCUGGACAGUUCCUGACGCUGAGGCGCGAAGGCCAGGGGAGCAAACGGG
Molecule: ribosomal RNA, 253 nt
Filed under: uncultured bacterium
Lineage: Bacteria
Description: partial 16S ribosomal RNA
Rfam family: Bacterial small subunit ribosomal RNA
Source: RNAcentral